AACAGAGUAGGUAAAAUGCGUUAAGUGUUAAGGGAUGGGAAGUUGACCUUAAACGAAAGACAAAGUCUGCGAUAUUUUACCGCGUCCGCUGUU
Molecule: non-coding RNA, 93 nt
Filed under: Clostridiales bacterium
Lineage: Bacteria; Bacillati; Bacillota; Clostridia; Eubacteriales
Description: THF-I sequence
Rfam family: THF (Tetrahydrofolate) riboswitch aptamer
About the family: THF riboswitch presents a pseudoknot that joins P1-P2 and the loop of P3 and two THF binding.
Source: RNAcentral